Molecule: unclassified non-coding RNA, 803 nt
Filed under: Hevea brasiliensis (rubber tree)
Lineage: Eukaryota; Viridiplantae; Streptophyta; Magnoliopsida; Malpighiales; Euphorbiaceae
Source: RNAcentral
ACAACAUGCACAGGGAAGACCGCACAGAGUUAGUUUAACCUAAGAUACACCUGAACUAGUGGCGCUGUGGUGCAAAAAGAGCUCUCCAAUCUACCUGGGAGAUAGGUGAUCCUGUUCUGUGGACUGAAUUUUCCCAUUUUCUAGUUCAAUGCUUGCUUCUUUUGGUACUGAACAUGAAUCUGAAGGGAUGUUAAUGCCUGCAAAACCAACCAUGACAGCUGCAGCUCCAAUGUAAUCCAUGAUGGGGGGUGCAUUUCCUGUCAGUGAAUCCACAAUUGCUGCUAGAGGAACCUGAAUGGUCAGUCCUGCUGUCGCUACUGUUGUGGAGGUCAACAGAAUAGCCUUGGCCCACAGUAAAUCGCUCAGCACAUUAUCAAACAUACCUUUACCAACUAUCAAGCCAAGUUGCUUCCAAGUGAGCGUGUUAAAUGGCUCAAGGUUAGCAAAGUUGAGUACAAGAGGUAUGGGUAAGAAUAUGAGCAUGUUGAAUAAACCCAAAUAUCCAAGAAACUGUGCCAUACUAGCAUGACCACUUUUCCCAUCAUCAUCAGGUAACUUUUUACGAAUAAGGGUUAUAUAAACAGCAUACAUAGCAGCUGAGACAAGAGAAAGAAUGUCACCAAGAACGGGAUUCAAAGCCACUUUGCUAGACCCUGAUUUUGAGUCACCCAAGCUCACAAUGAUUGUUCCUCCCAUACAAAGUAGAACACUGAACAGCUUCACCCAAGUAAAAACUUCUCCCAAGAAUACAAGAGACACCAAAAAAGUAAACAAGCUGGAGGAACUGCUUAAGAUGGUAUUCG